UGACGGUCCAUAUGUUAAAAGGGCUAAUAUCAAACUACAGAACUAAGCCAACUUCAGCGUGAGCUUAAAGUAUGGCAACUUCGUAUGAACUUUGAACUCUUAUUCACUAAAGAAGUGAUACCUCCUAGCCGUUGAGUGAGCAGCAGCAGCUGUAAACGUGGGCUAGGAAGGGACGGACAAAGUAUCUCUUCUACCAAACACAAGACGUUACUACAACGCAUCUAUUCUACCAUACAUUCUUCAGAGGACAGGAAGAUCUCUGUUGGGCAACACGGCCUUCCAUCUACGACCAACCUAUUGAAGCACAGCUCAUGACAGGUCAGACACCAGGGGGAGACUCGGAGGCCUGGUGACAGAUGGAACACACAUCACGAGGCGAUGGCUCCAUCUGCUGUACGUACCAGGUCACGAUGGGCUCUCCGGCCAGGACUAAUUGGGGCUGAUUGAGGAUUGGUGAGUAAUCAAGGGCUGAUUGCUCACCAGCUGUACAAGUCCCAUAAAGAUGUAAUAAGGGCCACACAGAGGAGAGACUAGGGGAGGAAAGGACUCCCGUAUAGUUGGGGACGGUCACAGGAGGGAGUUCAGCUUUUGAUCCCCACAGGUGACAGCAAGACGGUAUCCCGGAGAGGGUCUCUUGGGAAGACCUACACUUUUGGACUAUUAUUUUAAUAAACACCUUUGAAACUGAGCUAAUCAUACUCUGUCCGUGUCGGAUCUGUCUAAACGGUUUGACCCAACCCGCUGGUCUGCCACACUAUAUAAGGUCCCACUGUUCACAAGUGCAUGGCAGAGCAAAAACCAAGCCAUGAGACCAAAGCUCCGAGACAGGAUUGUGUCGAGGCACAGAUUUGGGGAAGGGUACCAAAACGAUUCUGCAGCAUUAAAAGGUCCCCAAGAACAUAGUGGCCUCCAUCAUUCUUAAAUUGAAAAAGAUGCAGGGUGUGCAAAGCUGUCAUCAAGGCAAUGGGUGGCUACUUUGAAGAAUCUAAAAUGUAUUUUGAUUUAACACUUUUUUUGGUUACUACAUGAUUCCAUAUGUGUUAUUUCAUAGUUUCGAUGUUUUCACUAUUCUACAAUUUAGAAAAAAAAGUUUUAAAAAAUACCCUUGAAUGAGUAGGUGUGUCCAAACUUGACUGGUACUGUAUAUCAGAUAGCACAUUAGAUUAAAUGCCAUCCACUUUCACAUUUCAUUCUGUAGUCUUGGCAUAUACUGUAUGUAUGUAUGUAUGUAUGUAUGUAUGUAUGUAUGUUUUCUUGCCUAACAUCAUUAUUUGGAAAUGGUAUAUUGAUGAUAGUUUUGUUCUAUGGAGGGGUGAUGCAAAACAGCUCCAGGCAUUCUAUACUUUUCUUAACUCCUGUUCUGAUCAUUUGAGAUUUACUCUGCAAUCUAAUACACGUCAAAUCAGUUUUCUUGAUCUUCUGUGAAGAUAAUGUUCUAUACACUGAUCUUUACAGGAAACCUACUCAUCGUAACAGUUUGUUGAGAGCUGAUAAUUGUCACCCACUUCCCUUGAAAAAUAGUUUGCCCUACAGCCAAUUCGUCGAAUCAAAAGAAUUUGCAAAAAACAAUCAGAUUUCAACAGAAAUAUGGCUGAGACGCAAAGAAAGUUCAAGGAGAGGGGCUACAAAAAUUAUCAGAUUAAUAUUCAAAACAAAACAUGACCUUUUUCAAGGUCAGUCUCGCAAAAAGACGCAUUCUUGAGUUCUAACUACCCGCUAUUCAAAGUGUUCUGAACAAAUUAAGGGAAUCGUUCACAAACAUUGGCACAUUCUAAAAUCCGAUGUGUCUCGGUAAUGUGUUUUCAGACCUUCCCUUGGUCGUAUUCACGCGGGGCAGAAAUCUCAGAGACCAAUUGGUACACUCUGAUUUACCACCUCAAGAUAUUCCUGAACAACGUCUAUUUGCACCCCUACUGGAUAGAAAUGACAAGUGUAAUGGCUGUGCUCAAUGCAAUGGCACUUACAAAUGUCGAUCCUUCAAACACCCACAAACAGGGAAAUCGAUCCCAAUCAAAGGUGUUAUUACGUGCUCCACUAAGGCAGUUAUUUAUCUUAUAACUUGUCCUUGUGGUAAAAAAUGAUGUGGGUAAAACAAAGCGCAAAUUAAAAGUAUGUAUCUCAGAGCAUCGUAGCACCAUUAGGUGCAAAAACUUGACUUACCCAGUUGCAGCCCACUUUUUGAAGGCAGGCCACUCGAUUGCGUCUCUGCGUUAAAUUGGCAUCGAACAUGUCACCCUCCCUAGGAGAGGGGGUGACCUUGAUAAUUUAUUGUUAAAACGAGAGGCUGCCUGGAUCUUUAUCUUAAAGACCCUUGCUCCCUUCGGUCUGAAAGUAGACUUUGAUCUGAAGCCAUUCUUGUGACUUUGCCAUUGUAAUUGUUUGUAAGCCUGUGUAGUCUAAAAUGAAUCUAUGAUCGUAUGCUAUCCAUUUGUUGUUUGUAUGCUGUUCUUUGUAUGCCAUUUUAAUAUUUGAGAAUUAACCAAAGAUAUUAGGCCACUCUUGGCCAUGAUUACAGACACUAUAUAAACGAGUCAUCCCGCAUUGUUUGUGAUUAUACCCUGAUGAAGACAGUUUGGCUGUCGAAACGUUGGUAAUUACAUUUUUGCAUCUGAGCUCCUAGAGUGUGCGGCUCUCUUAAGUUUUCUGCUCCGCUAGCCAGCACCUCGCCUAAAUAGAUGUGCGUUUCUUUUUCUUCUAUAUAUACACACACUGUAUGUAAACAUUUAUUUUCUCAAAUGUAAAAGUAUAUAUUUUGUAUGGUUUAAGACAGGAAGUCAUAUACGCUCGCAGACACACCUCCACAAUAAACAUAUCCUCAGCUCCUCUCAA
This is a long non-coding RNA of Oncorhynchus masou masou (cherry salmon), 2829 nucleotides long. RefSeq lists it as uncharacterized. NCBI's taxonomy places the organism in Eukaryota, Metazoa, Chordata, Actinopteri, Salmoniformes, Salmonidae. The record is from RefSeq and is a predicted model, not a curated record. The transcript is spliced from 2 exons.